RNAcentral lists this ribosomal RNA (1140 nucleotides) under Actinomycetota bacterium. Its description in RNAcentral is "bacterial SSU rRNA". It matches the Rfam family "Bacterial small subunit ribosomal RNA", at positions 38 to 1197 of the family's 1533-position model. Lineage: Bacteria; Bacillati; Actinomycetota. The record is from RNAcentral.
GGGGGAGGGUGCUACCAUGCAGUCGACGAUGAUCCUCAGCUUGCUGGGGGGAUUAGUGGCGAACGGGUGAGUAACACGUGAGUAACCUGCCCUUGACUCUGGGAUAAGCCUGGGAAACUGGGUCUAAUACCGGAUACGACCAUCUGGCGCAUGUCAUGGUGGUGGAAAGCUUUUGUGGUUUUGGAUGGACUCGCGGCCUAUCAGCUUGUUGGUGGGGUAAUGGCCUACCAAGGCGACGACGGGUAGCCGGCCUGAGAGGGUGACCGGCCACACUGGGACUGAGACACGGCCCAGACUCCUACGGGAGGCAGCAGUGGGGAAUAUUGCACAAUGGGCGCAAGCCUGAUGCAGCGACGCCGCGUGAGGGAUGACGGCCUUCGGGUUGUAAACCUCUUUCAGUAGGGAAGAAGCGUAAGUGACGGUACCUGCAGAAGAAGCGCCGGCUAACUACGUGCCAGCAGCCGCGGUAAUACGUAGGGCGCAAGCGUUAUCCGGAAUUAUUGGGCGUAAAGAGCUCGUAGGCGGUUUGUCGCGUCUGCUGUGAAAGACCGGGGCUCAACUCCGGUUCUGCAGUGGGUACGGGCAGACUAGAGUGCAGUAGGGGAGACUGGAAUUCCUGGUGUAGCGGUGAAAUGCGCAGAUAUCAGGAGGAACACCGAUGGCGAAGGCAGGUCUCUGGGCUGUAACUGACGCUGAGGAGCGAAAGCAUGGGGAGCGAACAGGAUUAGAUACCCUGGUAGUCCAUGCCGUAAACGUUGGGCACUAGGUGUGGGGGACAUUCCACGUUUUCCGCGCCGUAGCUAACGCAUUAAGUGCCCCGCCUGGGGAGUACGGCCGCAAGGCUAAAACUCAAAGGAAUUGACGGGGGCCCGCACAAGCGGCGGAGCAUGCGGAUUAAUUCGAUGCAACGCGAAGAACCUUACCAAGGCUUGACAUGAACCGGAAAGACCUGGAAACAGGUGCCCCGCUUGCGGUCGGGUUUACAGGUGGUGCAUGGUUGUCGUCAGCUCGUGUCGUGAGAUGUUGGGUUAAGUCCCGCAACGAGCGCAACCCUCGUUCUAUGUUGCCAGCGCGUUAUGGCGGGACUCAUAGAGACUGCGGGGUCACUCGNAGGAAGUGGGGACGACGUCAAUCAUCAUG